Molecule: non-coding RNA, 962 nt
Organism: Delphinapterus leucas (beluga whale)
Lineage: Eukaryota; Metazoa; Chordata; Mammalia; Artiodactyla; Monodontidae
Source: RefSeq, a predicted model, not a curated record
UCCGAAGAAUAUAUGCUUCAUGAGAAAAGGGACCUCUGUCUGAUGUUGAUCACUAUGAGUUCGUGCCUGACUCAUACAUAGCUAGAACAUGGGCAAAGUGCUAGUGAAGCAGCUCCAGCCAUGCAAGAGAAGACUUCACCCUAGGAGACGGUGGACAAGAAAAAGAAAGGAAACCAGAUUCCAGGAUGAUCUCAUUGAACAGGGCUAACCACUGCCUUGGACCAUCCACCUACCUCUAGACUAUCACAUGAGAGAGAUGAUCUAAUUACAUGAGCCCUUCAAAAGCAGAAGAGAAAAGCAGAAGAGGAAGUCAGAUAGACUCAAAGCCUGAGAAGUAUUCAAUACACCAUUGCUGGUUUGAAGAUGGAUGGGGACAUAAGAGAAAGAAUGCAAGGAACCUCUAGGAGCAGAAAGCCACCCCCAGCUAGCAGUCAGCAAGGAAACAGGAACUUCAGUCCUACAACUCCAAGGAACUGAUUCUGCCAACAACAGGAAUGAGUUGGAAGCAGAUUCUUCUCCAGAUCCCCCAGAUACAGCCCAUCAAGACAACAUCUUGAUUUCAGCCUUUGGAGACCCUAAGCAGAAAAUUCAGCACAUUGGCUUUCUGAUCUACAAAACUCUGACACUUGCUCCUGUCCCAUCUCCUGGUCUUUCCCCACUUCUUCAAAACUGACAGACAAUAGAGGUAUGAAGAUGGAUCAUGUCCAUCACCCGGCAGAAGAGGUUGGCAAGAGGUAGGCCAAUAGCAGUAAACUGGGAAAAAACUGACGAUUCAGUGAAGUUAUGACACUGUCAUCCAGAAUGAACCAAAUGUUCCAACAUAAAGGUACUUUCUCUGGAGUUAUUUUUGCUAAAACACUGAAGGAUUGUAUAUUCUGCUUCUAUGGGGGAAGCUGCUUGCUGAAAAAAAUCGUGUAUAUGUUUUGUGAUGUGUCUCUACGUGUAUGGGGACCAUGAUGUGA